Small nucleolar RNA from Carlito syrichta (Philippine tarsier), 119 nucleotides. Lineage: Eukaryota; Metazoa; Chordata; Mammalia; Primates; Tarsiidae. The record is from Ensembl.
CCUAUAAAGGCGUGACUGUUGUUCCCUGUCCUUGGACAUGUAAGAACUGUGGACAUGGAGAAGUCUGGGGCCAGCUUGUGGUAAGACCUAAUAUUUUCAUGUUAUACUUACCCAAAAUU